Molecule: ribosomal RNA, 350 nt
Filed under: uncultured bacterium
Lineage: Bacteria
Description: bacterial SSU rRNA
Rfam family: Bacterial small subunit ribosomal RNA
Source: RNAcentral
AGAGUUUGAUCAUGGCUCAGGAUGAACGCUAGCUACAGGCUUAACACAUGCAAGUCGAGGGGAAACGACAUCGAAAGCUUGCUUUUGAUGGGCGUCGACCGGCGCACGGGUGAGUAACGCGUAUCCAACCUGCCCACCACUUGGGGAUAACCUUGCGAAAGUAAGACUAAUACCCAAUGACGUCUCUAGAAGAUAUCUGAAGGAGAUUAAAGAUUUAUCGGUGAUGGAUGGGGAUGCGUCUGAUUAGCUUGUUGCGGGGUAAGGCCCACCAAGGCGACGAUCAGUAGGGGUUCUGAGGAGGAAGGUCCCCCACAUUGGAACUGAGACACGGUCCAACUCCUACGGAGGCA